RNAcentral lists this ribosomal RNA (464 nucleotides) under uncultured bacterium. Its description in RNAcentral is "bacterial SSU rRNA". It matches the Rfam family "Bacterial small subunit ribosomal RNA", at positions 28 to 507 of the family's 1533-position model. The record is from RNAcentral.
GACGAACGCUGGCGGCGUGCUUAAAACAUGCAAGUCGAACGGACUUCUCAUGAAGCUUGCGAUUGAGAAGUUAGUGGCGGACGGGUGAGUAACGCGUGGGCAACCUGCCCCUGAGCCCGGGAUAACAGUUCGAAAGGACUGCUAAGACCGGAUAUACUUGCGGGGAAGCAUUUCACUGCAAGGAAAGGGAACGCUCAGGGAUGGGCCCGCGUCCCAUUAGCUAGUUGGUGAGGUAACGGCCCACCAAGGCGACGAUGGGUAGCCGGCCUGAGAGGGUGAACGGCCACACUGGGACUGAGACACGGCCCAGACUCCUACGGGGGCAGCAGUUGGGAAUCUUCGGCAAUGGGCGCAAGCCUGACCGAGCAACGCCGCGUGAGUGAUGAAGGUUUUCGGAUUGUAAAGCUCUGUCUUCCGGGACGAUAAUGACGGUACCGGAGGAGGAAGCCACGGCUAACUACGUG